This 224-nucleotide non-coding RNA is filed under the name Domibacillus iocasae. Its description in RNAcentral is "T-box sequence". It matches the Rfam family "T-box leader". From Rfam's summary of the family: Uncharged tRNA acts as the effector for transcription antitermination of genes in the T-box leader family. T-boxes are found upstream of many aminoacyl-tRNA synthetase genes and some amino acid biosynthetic genes usually in Gram-positive bacteria. The record is from RNAcentral. Lineage: Bacteria; Bacillati; Bacillota; Bacilli; Caryophanales; Bacillaceae.
UGAAACGCUUCGACUGGGAGCAUUAAGGAAUCGUGAUUGUUUUUAGAGAGCUGCCGCUUUGGUGAAAGGCAGUCAAUCGCUUCCCCAACUCGCCCAUGAGCGGCAAAGCUGAAACAUUAUUAGGCUUUGACGGACGCCCCGUAAUCAGCCUUUAAGCGGGUUUAUGCGAAUGCAUAAGCCAACAAGAGUGGUACCACGGAAGGUUAACGCCUGUCGUCUCUUUU